Molecule: transfer RNA, 68 nt
Filed under: Oulema melanopus
Lineage: Eukaryota; Metazoa; Arthropoda; Insecta; Coleoptera; Chrysomelidae
Also listed under: 1 other name
Description: tRNA-Met
Rfam family: tRNA
About the family: Transfer RNA (tRNA) molecules are approximately 80 nucleotides in length. Their secondary structure includes four short double-helical elements and three loops (D, anti-codon, and T loops). Further hydrogen bonds mediate the characteristic L-shaped molecular structure. tRNAs have two regions of fundamental functional importance: the anti-codon, which is responsible for specific mRNA codon recognition, and the 3' end, to which the tRNAs corresponding amino acid is attached (by aminoacyl-tRNA synthetases). tRNAs cope with the degeneracy of the genetic code in two manners: having more than one tRNA (with a specific anti-codon) for a particular amino acid; and 'wobble' base-pairing, i.e. permitting non-standard base-pairing at the 3rd anti-codon position.
Source: RNAcentral
AAACAGGUAAGCUAAUAAGCUUUUGGGUUCAUACCCCAACUAUGAAGGUUCCACCCCUUCCCUUUUUA